GGUUAAGCGACUAAGCGUACACGGUGGAUGCCCUGGCAGUCAGAGGCGAUGAAGGACGUGCUAAUCUGCGAAAAGCGUCGGUAAGGUGAUAUGAACCGUUAUAACCGGCGAUGUCCGAAUGGGGAAACCCAGUGCAAUUCGUUGCACUAUCGUUAACUGAAUACAUAGGUUAACGAGGCGAACCGGGGGAACUGAAACAUCUAAGUACCCCGAGGAAAAGAAAUCAACCGAGAUUCCCCCAGUAGCGGCGAGCGAACGGGGAGCAGCCCAGAGUCUGAAUCAGCUUGUGUGUUAGUGGAACGGUCUGGAAAGUCCGACGGUACAGGGUGAUAGUCCCGUACACCAAAAUGCACAGGUUGUGAACUCGAAGAGUAGGGCGGGACACGUGGUAUCCUGUCUGAAUAUGGGGGGACCAUCCUCCAAGGCUAAAUACUCCUGACUGACCGAUAGUGAACCAGUACCGUGAGGGAAAGGCGAAAAGAACCCCGGCGAGGGGAGUGAAAAAGAACCUGAAACCGUGUACGUACAAGCAGUGGGAGCACCUUCGGGUGUGACUGCGUACCUUUUGUAUAAUGGGUCAGCGACUUAUAUUCUGUAGCAAGGUUAACCGUAUAGGGGAGCCGCAGGGAAACCGAGUCUUAACUGGGCGUUAAGUUGCAGGGUAUAGACCCGAAACCCGGUGAUCUAGCCAUGGGCAGGUUGAAGGUUGGGUAACACUAACUGGAGGACCGAACCGACUAAUGUUGAAAAAUUAGCGGAUGACUUGUGGCUGGGGGUGAAAGGCCAAUCAAACCGGGAGAUAGCUGGUUCUCCCCGAAAGCUAUUUAGGUAGCGCCUCGUGAACUCAUCUUCGGGGGUAGAGCACUGUUUCGGCUAGGGGGUCAUCCCGACUUACCAACCCGAUGCAAACUACGAAUACCGAAGAAUGUUAUCACGGGAGACACACGGCGGGUGCUAACGUCCGUCGUGAAGAGGGAAACAACCCAGACCGCCAGCUAAGGUCCCAAAGUCAUGGUUAAGUGGGAAACGAUGUGGGAAGGCACAGACAGCCAGGAUGUUGGCUUAGAAGCAGCCAUCAUUUAAAGAAAGCGUAAUAGCUCACUGGUCGAGUCGGCCUGCGCGGAAGAUGUAACGGGGCUAAACCAUGCACCGAAGCUGCGGCAGCGACACUAUGUGUUGUUGGGUAGGGGAGCGUUCUGUAAGCCUGCGAAGGUGUGCUGUGAGGCAUGCUGGAGGUAUCAGAAGUGCGAAUGCUGACAUAAGUAACGAUAAAGCGGGUGAAAAGCCCGCUCGCCGGAAGACCAAGGGUUCCUGUCCAACGUUAAUCGGGGCAGGGUGAGUCGACCCCUAAGGCGAGGCCGAAAGGCGUAGUCGAUGGGAAACAGGUUAAUAUUCCUGUACUUGGUGUUACUGCGAAGGGGGGACGGAGAAGGCUAUGUUAGCCGGGCGACGGUUGUCCCGGUUUAAGCAUGUAGGCUGGUUAUCCAGGCAAAUCCGGAUAAUCAAGGCUGAGGUGUGAUGACGAGGCACUACGGUGCUGAAGUAACAAAUGCCCUGCUUCCAGGAAAAGCCUCUAAGCAUCAGGUAACAUUAAAUCGUACCCCAAACCGACACAGGUGGUCAGGUAGAGAAUACCAAGGCGCUUGAGAGAACUCGGGUGAAGGAACUAGGCAAAAUGGUGCCGUAACUUCGGGAGAAGGCACGCUGGUGUGUAGGUGAAGUCCCUGCGGAUGGAGCUGAGACCAGUCGAAGAUACCAGCUGGCUGCAACUGUUUAUUAAAAACACAGCACUGUGCAAACACGAAAGUGGACGUAUACGGUGUGACGCCUGCCCGGUGCCGGAAGGUUAAUUGAUGGGGUUAUCCGUAAGGAGAAGCUCUUGAUCGAAGCCCCGGUAAACGGCGGCCGUAACUAUAACGGUCCUAAGGUAGCGAAAUUCCUUGUCGGGUAAGUUCCGACCUGCACGAAUGGCGUAAUGAUGGCCAGGCUGUCUCCACCCGAGACUCAGUGAAAUUGAACUCGCUGUGAAGAUGCAGUGUACCCGCGGCAAGACGGAAAGACCCCGUGAACCUUUACUAUAGCUUGACACUGAACAUUGAGCCUUGAUGUGUAGGAUAGGUGGGAGGCUUUGAAGCGUGGACGCCAGUCUGCGUGGAGCCAACCUUGAAAUACCACCCUUUAAUGUUUGAUGUUCUAACGUUGGCCCCUGACCGGGGUUGCGGACAGUGUCUGGUGGGUAGUUUGACUGGGGCGGUCUCCUCCCAAAGCGUAACGGAGGAGCACGAAGGUUAGCUAAUCCUGGUCGGACAUCAGGAGGUUAGUGCAAUGGCAUAAGCUAGCUUGACUGCGAGCGUGACGGCGCGAGCAGGUGCGAAAGCAGGUCAUAGUGAUCCGGUGGUUCUGAAUGGAAGGGCCAUCGCUCAACGGAUAAAAGGUACUCCGGGGAUAACAGGCUGAUACCGCCCAAGAGUUCAUAUCGACGGCGGUGUUUGGCACCUCGAUGUCGGCUCAUCACAUCCUGGGGCUGAAGUAGGUCCCAAGGGUAUGGCUGUUCGCCAUUUAAAGUGGUACGCGAGCUGGGUUUAGAACGUCGUGAGACAGUUCGGUCCCUAUCUGCCGUGGGCGCUGGAGAAUUGAGGGGGGCUGCUCCUAGUACGAGAGGACCGGAGUGGACGCAUCACUGGUGUUCGGGUUGUCAUGCCAAUGGCACUGCCCGGUAGCUAAAUGCGGAAGAGAUAAGUGCUGAAAGCAUCUAAGCACGAAACUUGCCCCGAGAUGAGUUCUCCCUGAGACUUUAAGUCUCCUGAAGGAACGUUAAAGACGAUGACGUUGAUAGGCCGGGUGUGUAAGCGCAGCGAUGCGUUGAGCUAACCGGUACUAAUGAACCGUGAGGCUUAACCUU
This 2902-nucleotide ribosomal RNA is filed under the name Klebsiella pneumoniae. RNAcentral's name for it is "23S ribosomal RNA". It matches the Rfam family "Bacterial large subunit ribosomal RNA". Lineage: Bacteria; Pseudomonadati; Pseudomonadota; Gammaproteobacteria; Enterobacterales; Enterobacteriaceae. The record is from RNAcentral.